UCUGGGUCUGGGGAUGUGGUACCGGCUGCUGGCGGCGGCCGGCAGUAGAGCGGUGGCCAGGCCGCUGGCCUUGCUGUGGCGAUGUGGUGGCCCAGGAGGCGGCAGGACGGCCAAGACCAGCGCGAGGGCCCUGGGCAAGGCCCGACAGUGGUUAUGGCCAGUGAGAAUGUGCGGUGUUGCAUUGCAGAAGAAGCUAGGAAAGCUCAUCUGGCCUCCUGUUCCAGUGCUUCCAGGGGAUCCACGUUCAGAAGCUGACUCUGCAGGCAAGACCGACGUUAUUUUCCUGGUGGCUGUGUUCAAAACCACCCAAAGGGUUUGAGAAAUACUUUAAGAGGAGUGGAAGGAACACAAACUGAGAAACAUCAACAGCACCAAAAAAAGGUAAAAGGGCCAGUUUGAAAAAUCAGACUGUGAAGUUUUACAGUUGAGUACUUUUAAAGCAUUCACUGAAUGGGCUGAUCUCCUUGGGAACUGAUAAGCAGGUGGGCCUGUGAGUGUGUGAUGGUGACAUCGUCUUCCCUGAGCUUGCUCCUGGGCGGUACCCAUCCUUCCCAGGUCACCAGCACCUUCUCA
Molecule: long non-coding RNA, 573 nt
Filed under: Homo sapiens (human)
Lineage: Eukaryota; Metazoa; Chordata; Mammalia; Primates; Hominidae
Description: non-protein coding lnc-DEF8-2:7
Source: RNAcentral